RNAcentral lists this unclassified non-coding RNA (333 nucleotides) under soil metagenome. Its description in RNAcentral is "partial contains 5.8S ribosomal RNA, internal transcribed spacer 2, and large subunit ribosomal RNA". The stretch from base 1 to 120 matches the Rfam family "5.8S ribosomal RNA", at positions 35 to 154 of the family's 154-position model. The record is from RNAcentral.
GAUGAAGAACGUAGCGAAAUGCGAUAAGUAGUGUGAAUUGCAGAAUUCAGUGAAUCAUCGAAUCUUUGAACGCACAUUGCGCCCGCCAGUAUUCUGGCGGGCAUGCCUGUUCGAGCGUCAUUUCAACCCUCAAGCUCAGCUUGGUGUUGGGACUCGCGGUAACCCGCGUUCCCCAAAUCGAUUGGCGGUCACGUCGAGCUUCCAUAGCGUAGUAAUCAUACACCUCGUUACUGGUAAUCGUCGCGGCCACGCCGUAAAACCCCAACUUCUGAAUGUUGACCUCGGAUCAGGUAGGAAUACCCGCUGAACUUAAGCAUAUCAAUAAGCGGAGGA